This is a long non-coding RNA of Asparagus officinalis (garden asparagus), 1267 nucleotides long. RefSeq lists it as uncharacterized. NCBI's taxonomy places the organism in Eukaryota, Viridiplantae, Streptophyta, Magnoliopsida, Asparagales, Asparagaceae. The transcript has 2 exons. The record is from RefSeq and is a predicted model, not a curated record.
UGUAGCUAGGGGAUAGCCGGAGGUGUGCCCGAGGGUGUGCCUGUAUCAUUUUUCUAAGUAGAUUUCCAUGUUCACAUGGAGUUUCAGCCAUCAUCGAAAGGAAUUUACGAAUAGAAUCAUUUGUGCAUGAGGCAUACACAAGAGAGCUAUAUAUUUUGGCAUAUGGCAGAAAUAUUUCACCAAUCCCUAGAAUGAGACAAUGGCCUAGGACAAUAUACCCACAACCAGCACCUCCAAAGACAAGAAUUAUGAAAGGAAGGCCAAAGAGGAGUAGAAAGAGAGAAAUUGGAGAGGAAGAUGCUGCAAAUAUGAGGGUUCAGAGAAAGAAAAUGUAGAAUAAGUGUAAAAGAUGUGGGCGGUUGGGUCACAAUAAUAGAACUUGCAAAAAUACACCAAACAGAGAAAGAGCCUCCAAAAGCAAACGGGGUAGACCAAGAAAGCAUUCACUAAAGAGCUUUUCACAACAAAAUAUGCCAAAGCAAUAUAGCGGUGCCUAGAGAAGAAGAAAACCAGGAACCAAGAAUAGAAUGCCCCACUGCUCAAAUGAACAAACCCCAACCCUAGUACUCCGACAUGUGAUCAGGUAUAUAUUUGCAAGCGAAAUAAUUGGUUGCAUUAUGUAUAUAUCUGUGCCAACCUAUUUCAGUAUUCAUUGCAAGGACAAGCUUCCAACUCAACACUUAACAACCACUACCCCGCAAACAUACGACUAUUACGCUAGCAUUCCAAAUACAAAUACAAGGUCCUUAUGUACCCCCUAUUAUUCAGAAGUCUUCAAUUCCUUCUUUACCACAGCUACAACUCAUUUUACACAACAAGCUCCCUCUCCUACACCGAUGCCUACAACAAGAAGCCACCAACCUCCACCUAAUACAGUAGGAGGGUUUUUAACUUGCCAACGGUACUUGGCGGAGGCAAAGUAUGCAUCAACAGAACUCAGCUGAGAGAGGCAGCUCAGCAACUGCAGCAAGGCAAGGGGAAAAAAAUCUCUCAAACCAAAUUUGGAGACCAUGGCAGGAAUGUGGUCAACUUUUGUGAACUACCAUGACAUAAGAAAUAUGGUCAACUUUUACGAGCUACACCAACAUAGAAUAUGGCCAACUUUUGUGAGCUCUGGGAUUGCUUUGAAUACUAACAAAGCAAUUUAAUAUGGUAGCUGAAUCUUUUUGUCUUUGGUUGUUGAUUUAGUAAGGUGAUUCUUGUGAACAAUGAAUGAUCUUAGAAAACUCUAUGAUAGAAUCAGUUGUGUGAUAGAAUCAGUUAUGAA